UAGUACAACGGAGGCACCUGGGCUGUCGCUGACCUUAAAGGACGUGCACGCCCGGAGUGCUCUCUCACAUCCAUCUCACCCCUUUGUGCAUCACCGCGUGGGGCCCUCUCCUUUGGCUUGUUCCGGGGAGGGGGUUUCACGUUUUUACACGAACAACCCAUUAAUGCAUGUGUAGAAUGUCUUACUUAUUUUAAAUA
Molecule: unclassified non-coding RNA, 197 nt
Filed under: uncultured Russula
Lineage: Eukaryota; Fungi; Basidiomycota; Agaricomycetes; Russulales; Russulaceae
Description: sequence contains ITS1
Source: RNAcentral